Molecule: ribosomal RNA, 612 nt
Filed under: Triticum aestivum (bread wheat)
Lineage: Eukaryota; Viridiplantae; Streptophyta; Magnoliopsida; Poales; Poaceae
Description: partial small subunit ribosomal RNA
Source: RNAcentral
AUGGAGGCGGCGCGUCACGCAGGGAAGAAGCGGGGUCCGGACGACGAGGCGGAGGCGGAGGUGCACCACACGUUCCGGGGCGCCGCCAACGCGCUCUCGCAGCUCUACGCGCAGGCCGUCGCCAACCAGAAGGCCUCCUUCAUCGCCGGCGAGCGCCACGCCAUGGAGCGUGCCCAUCGGUGGAUAUCCAGUCAGCAUGAAGAAGCAUCGGGAGUGUCUGUUGCUGAUGUACUUGCUUACUUGCAGAAUGAGAUUGAGAGCAGAGGCGGCAUGGCAGGGUCUUCCCAACAUCCAACUCCACAGCCAGCAUAUGGUCUUCCUUCUGCAAAUGUCCAAAUCAACUCCUUCUCAUUUGGAAAUGUGGCGGCUGCACUUGACUCUCAGCUGUACCAAACCGACCAAACAAGAACUGCGGGCAUCUCAAAUGCUUUCAGCAGUCCUUCACAGCAAAAUUCCCGUUCAAACCAUCUGGUUCAGUGUUCAGGAAAUGGCCCUGUAAACUCCCCGCCAAUUGGAAGCAGAGCUCGGGAUGACCAUUCUCCCCAGAACCAGGACUCUGUGCAUCCCAAUUCGUACGAGCCCUCCAUGGAUAUGAAUCAUGAUGCUCCUUGA